GCAAGUCGAACGCGAACGGCAUUCUUCGGAGUGCUUAUUAGAGUGGCGAACGGGUGAGUAACAGGUAGGUAAUCUACCCUUAAGUUUGGGAUAGCCCCGGGAAACCGGGAUUAAUACCGGAUGUGGAAGAAAUUCUAAAGGAGGCCUCUUUACAAUGCUUCCGCUUAAGGAUGAGCCUGCUUUCUAUUAGCUUGUUGGUAAGGUAAUGGCUUACCAAGGCGAUGAUAGAUAGGCGGCCUUAACGGGUGGUC
This 251-nucleotide ribosomal RNA is filed under the name uncultured bacterium. RNAcentral describes it as "partial 16S ribosomal RNA". It matches the Rfam family "Bacterial small subunit ribosomal RNA", at positions 57 to 305 of the family's 1533-position model. The record is from RNAcentral.